Molecule: ribosomal RNA, 492 nt
Filed under: uncultured bacterium
Lineage: Bacteria
Description: partial 16S ribosomal RNA
Rfam family: Bacterial small subunit ribosomal RNA
Source: RNAcentral
AGUGAACGCUGGCGGUAGGCCUAACACAUGCAAGUCGAACGGCAGCACAGUAAGAGCUUGCUCUUACGGGUGGCGAGUGGCGGACGGGUGAGGAAUACAUCGGAAUCUACUUUCUCGUGGGGGAUAACGUAGGGAAACUUACGCUAAUACCGCAUACGACCUACGGGUGAAAGCAGGGGAUCUUCGGACCUUGCGCGAUUGAAUGAGCCGAUGUCGGAUUAGCUAGUUGGCGGGGUAAAGGCCCACCAAGGCGACGAUCCGUAGCUGGUCUGAGAGGAUGAUUAGCCACACUGGAACUGAGACACGGUCCAGACUCCUACGGGAGGCAGCAGUGGGGAAUAUUGGACAAUGGGCGCAAGCCUGAUCCAGCCAUACCGCGUGGGUGAAGAAGGCCUUCGGGUUGUAAAGCCCUUUUGUUGGGAAAGAAAAGCAGCAGGUUAAUACCCCGCUGUUCUGACGGUACCCAAAGAAUAAGCACCGGCUAACUUCGUG